This 6411-nucleotide long non-coding RNA is filed under the name Sus scrofa (pig). RNAcentral describes it as "lncRNA (ENSSSCG00000059616.1)". The record is from RNAcentral. Lineage: Eukaryota; Metazoa; Chordata; Mammalia; Artiodactyla; Suidae.
GGAAAAAGAGAAAAAGAAAAAAAACAAUCUAAGAAAGAGCACAUAAACCCCAUCUGUCCAUCAUUCCUCAGUAUGGAUCAGCCAGUGAAUGCUUUCAAGGGAAGAAGUUUUGUUUACAAAGAGACAGAAUAUAAUCGAAAUACAGAGAGACAGGUGCGAUGAAAUGAGUGACUCCCCUGAGACAAAGAGAAGGCCCCACAAAGAGUCCACAGGCUUUACACAUUCAUCUAGUCGCUCCUUAGUGUGAGAAGAGUUUGCAUGAAACCCCUCAUCCCAAGUUCCGGCUUCAUCAUGGCUUGUGUUAGCCCACGGAUUCACUCUUGAUGCCUUCCCUUUUCCUACUCUGAUAACUAACAAUUAUGGAAAUGUAAACUUCGAUUUGUCAGUGGCACUCGGGUAUCGCAACUCAUAAAAGCUCAAAGUCACAUUGGCAUUUUUCCUGGAAUAGAAAACGCCAGGCAUCCUGUUGGAAGCCCCAGCCAGAGAGGAGGAAGGCAGACUGCGUUGAGCCUGUGCGGGGAGGGGGGGCUUCUGUGAGCCUCCUGCCAACGCAGAGACUGAUGCUGCCGGUCCGCCCCACCCGCUCAGAAGGAUUAGGCAGACAAAACCCAAACACAGAAAGAGACCAAAUACCCCCAGGAACUGAGACAGGUAGCGGCCUCAGCUCCAAAUGUCAAUUACUGGAAGUCUCCAGAGUCUGGUUAAAAAUAGAUAUGCAGGUUUCUUUGUUCACCUGUCAGCGAGGGUCAUCCCAUCACAUCAGAUUCCCAUCACCCUCUUUUCACCCAGUAGCUGAGUUGUCAACCAUUUGCAACUGUAAAUUUUGGUUACGGUGCUGUCACAGGGUCUAAAUUAGCAUAUGCUCCCUUUCAAUUAUAUCCAGGUUUUCACAGGACGUGACAGAUAAAGGGAUGCACAUAGAUACAGUAUGUGUAAACACUGCGAUACCCUGGCUCCCCCCCACCCUUCGCCCAUAGAGCCUCUGUGUGUUUGUGCAAAGAGGGAGAGAGAGUUGGGGCGGGAAGCAGUUGCAAGCUGCCCACAAGGCAGGCAGGUUAGGCAAACCAGGAGUCAGGAUGGGACUUAGGGAGCUUUACAGAGUCCCUCACGCUGCAGUUUUCUUCGUCUUCGUACUUAGGCAAAUCCCUCGCUCCCCACCUUUACCCAAGAAAUUCUGUACAAAUGAAUUAGAUUUAGUCUGAAUGACUCAUGAACUUCUCCUGCUCAAAGUGCUUAAAUUUGCAGUCAACUCCAAAUUAGACUUGGUAAUUGAGGGAGCCGUGGUACAGAUAUUCCCAAAUAACAGACAAUCUAAAAGUCAUUUUGACUUGAUGCUGGUAGGCGAUGUUUGAUUUUUUGGAGGGGUGCAGCGGAUUUGCUUCCCUAAUUAGUUUUUGCUUAAGCCAGUAUCAAACUUGGAUUCUCUUCCUGGCUUGAAACAAAAGGAUACACAGAACCUGGAGGAAAAGCCCCCCUGAAAUGUAAAUUUCGCCCCUUAAAGGGGACAUAGCCACAAAAAUGAGCAAUUUGCAAAUUCUCCCUAAAUCUAGGUUUAACUCGAGAGAGAGGGGUGGGAGGUAUAUUUAAUUUUUCUGCUUGCCAGAAAUUUCCUUUUCACUUGACUCAGCCCUAUUCUAUUUUUCUCUCAAAUUUAACCUUGCUGUCCACCCCCACCAAAAAAAACAAAAACAAAAACAUCCCAUUGGCUGUGUCCAUGUUUGGGACAUCUUACCCAAGCCUAUACAUCUUUGUAGUAGUUCCCUCCCAGAUAAGCAAGCAUUUCAAGAACUAAUCCACCCUCGAAAAACUGCUCCAGAUCUAUUUUUGGCGACAAACAGAAUUUAUUAGAGCUCAGGUAGACCUUUCUUUAAGUAUAAGCAAUUGGCUUCCCCUGGCCCUUUUCUAAUAUAAGUUUUCUUCCCCAAAAUAGGAACAAAAUAAAAGAUUCUAUAAAACUGACUCUGCUUCAAAUCAUUUAUGAUGUCUUCCCCAAAAGGGCCAUCUUGUCCUUUCCAACAGCUCCCAGCAAUUCUGCUCUCUCCCAGGGCCCCAGCCUCAUCUUUUCAGAACCUACAGGCAUUGUAAAGCAGUGUCUUUUGCUUCCUCUGUCUUUGCCCUUUGCAUAACAACUCAAAAUUUACCAUCCUUGCCACAUUUGAGAACUGUUCUUAACCCUUCAUAUAUUUUAGCUCAUUUAAUCACAGCUCUAUGAAUAGACACCUUUGUUAUCCGCAUUUUCCCCCAUAGGUGGGAAGGUAAGUGUUCAAACCCAGCACCCUGAUCCUGAGACUCAGGCCUCCACUUAACCGUGAGACAGUCCCUCCCUACCCUGAAACCUACGCUUGUCCUCACUGCUGUGGCUCAACAAAGGACCCAGGGGACGAUACUGACAAUUUGGCACAAAAACGUAGUUGCACAUGAGUCCUUUCCACCCUCAGUGAUCUCCCAGGGUUCUCUGUCAUUAACUAAGGCAGAAUGUCUCCACAUCGGGGAACAGUGCAUGCAAACAGCUCCCCAGGUGGUUCAGUGGGUAGCCAGGGUUGAGACCCAUUCAUGAAGAUGAAUAGAAGGAAAAUGAUUUUUUAAAAAAGAUGGGUAAUAAAAAUCUAGGUGCAUUAGAUUCUCAAUCCCAACCUUACCCCCUGGACCCAGAUCCCCUUCUGCACGUAAAAAUGUGCAGCCCUUUCUCAGACAAGGGAGAGCUGCAGCUAAUUAAGUUGGCCUCCUUUCUUGAAAGGAAAGUCAUAAAAUCAUAAUCAAUACAACAGUAGAGUCGAUGAGGAGGUUGGGUAAGAGAACAUAUAUGAACUCGUUUUUGCCUCAAAAAGUUUGUGAUGGCAGAGAAAAAAAAUUAGAGUAACAUUACAUGGCAAGAGUAAAAUGGAUUAAAAUGUCUUCUUGGAGUUCCCAUUGUGGCUCAGCAGUAAUGAGCCCGACUAGUAUCCAUAUCCAUGAGGACUCAGGUUGAUCCCUGGCCCCACCCAAUGGGUUAAGGAUCCGGUGUUGCCAUGAGCUGUGGUGUAGUCUGAAAGCUGCAGCUCCUAUUCAACCCCUAGCCUGGGAACUUUCAUAUGCCAUGGGUGUGGCCCUAAAAAGACAAAAAGAAAAGGUCUUACCUCUGUUCCUGGCUUUGCAAUUUUCGUGCACAGUAGAUCUUUUACCAGGCUCCCUUCAGUACGCUGUAAGCCAGAUAAUUAUUUGCAACCCCCUGCCAUCCCAAAGCUAUCUCUGAGCAAAGAUUUAAUGUCUUGAGUUCCAUAGUGAGAUUUCCGAUUACCAAGACUUCAUUAUCUUUGUGAAACAAGCGAUGAUACAUUUACGCCGAGGUACCGGGAAAGUUUGAUCAUAGACUGUGAAGUCUCAGCUACCAUUGUCAAAACAAAAGGAUAAAGCAUAUUGUGUGAUUUACUUGCCUUGAUUCUCUUCUGUCUGUUUGCAUACCCACUCGUCUGCAAAAUCUGGUAAUUCACAAUGGGGCUCUCUGUCAUUAGUCUGAAUUAGUAAGUUUCUACUGUGUUUUAGAAAUCAAAUUGAAGUCCUCAGGAGGUGAAAUGCUCGGAAUUAUCUAAAUGAUUUUCAUUAUUGUCGCUCCGAUUUUUAUUAAACAUGUUAUUACUUUUCAGAAAUAAUGAACAAUAAUAUAAUAAUUAAUAACCAAACAUACAUCAAGAGGUACUUUAUUUCAAACUACAAAAUUAAAAGGCUGAUGAUCAGCCUCCUUGGCUGUAGAGAAGUAUCUGUGGUUUCCCUACGAGACCGUUUGGCUGGCAUAUCUGGGCUGAGUUUAGUCCCAGGCAGGCACACUUCUUUGUCCUUUAUCUUGCUGUCUCCAUGGAUGUCCCGAUGUAUCACGUUUACUGGGUCUCGACACAUGCUCUCAACUAUGGAGGCAGACGUUGUAAUGACAUUCACAGAGUGCCAGAUUCCUAUUAAAAUGUCCCCUCGAGAGCAUCCCAGAGGACACGAAGAAACUAGUCUGAGAAUUUUCUUCUCGAGUUCCCAUUAUAACUCAGCAGGUUAAGAACCCAGCACAAUGUCUGUGAGGAUGCAGGUUCGAUCCCUGGCCUCACUUAGUGGGUUAAGGAUCCAGCAUUGCUGCAAGCUGUAGCGUAGGUCACAAAUGCGGCUUGGAUCCUGAGUUGCCCCAGCUGCGGCUGUGGUGUAGGCCGGCAGCUGCAGCUCUUAUUUGACCCCUAGCCUGAGAACUUCCAUGUGCCACGGGUGCGGCUGCAAAAAGAAAAAAAGAACUUUUUUCCUCUCUUUUUUCCCCUCCUAUCCAUCCAACCUCACUUCCUCUCAGACUCUUCCAUGAAUGAUCUUUUGUGAAGCUCUCAAAUUGUGCGAAUGUGUUCAGACUGGUUUUCCCCUCCUUUCUUCUCUGGCUCAGCAUCCUUGACCUCGCUGCCGUCCAGAAGUCUGCUCCUUCCCAUGUCAAACUGGAAUCGCUCCAGGCGAAACGUUUCCUUCCCAACAGGGCAACUCGGAAGCAUGUGCAUCAAAAGCAUUAGAUUCCUGUUUUGGUUAGAACUUUAAGGUGGGGCCAGGGGAGUGAGGGUCCCACAGGCAGAGAAACACCCCUAAAAACUCACACGACAAUGUAAGUGGAGCCUCAAACAUCUCACUCCCCUAGCGUGUAGGAGAUGAGAAAAGAAUAUGAGCUUGAGCACAUUUCUGUCCCUCCGAAGCUUCGUGAUUUUCCCUGUCACCACCCCCCGAUGGAACUCAGGAUGAACUACUUUUCUGAAUAACAUUUUACUGGAACAUAGUCUCGUAUCCAUUCAUUUACGUAUUUAUUACCUAUGGCUUCUCUUUGUGCUGAUGUGGUCAGAGUUGGGCAGUUGUGUCAAAGACUCCGUGGUCCACAAAGCCAAAAAUAAUUACUCCAUGGCCCUGUAGAGAAAAAGUUUUUCCAUCCAUAGUUUAAAAUUUUUUUUUAAUUUUUUUACAAUUUUAAAGUUUCCAUUUAGAAUUAUUACAAAAGAUUGGCUAUAUUCCCCAUGCUGUGCAAUACAUUCCUAUAGCCUCUCUUACACAGAAGAGUCUGUACCUCCCAACUCCCCCACCCCAAUAUUGCCCCUCCCCCAGCUCCCCCUGGUCACCACUAUCUGUGAGCCCUGCCUCUUUUUUGUUGUAUUCACUAGGUUGUUGUAUUUUUUAGAUUCCACAUAUAAGCAAAUCAUACCACAUUUAUCUUUCACUCUGACUUAUUUCCCCUAGCAUAAAGGGGGAACUAUUUUUCCCUCUUUUAAAUUUUCUUCAUUUGCUCAUUAUUCAAAGUGCUGUCUCGGUCCAGAGCUGUUCUCUCCUCUGUGUCCCUCCCUGCCCCACUCCUGGCUAUUUCAGCCUCAUCUUUCAGGAUUCUGGGUAGAAGACUCUUCCUCCAAGAUGCCAAGCCUUCUAAGCCUUCCCCUUUCCCAAAAGCAUUUAAUGAACCUUUUGCUUUCAUGGACUCUUCCAUGUAGACGUUACUCUCGCUGAGGGCAGGAACCAUGUUUGGUUACUCACCUUUGUUCCUCGUACCCAGAUACAGUACCUGGCACACAUAGACAUUCAUCAAAUGCUCGUUUAACGACAGCGUGCGAGUUAAUGGGCGGAUGGAUGUCAGUAACGCAGGGAAAGUUUGCAUCAUUUUCUCUCCCUGUUCAUAUCACCACCCCUCACCCAGGCAAACCUGCAGCCCAUCUCACCAUCUUUGGAUCCCUCCAUCAAUGUCCUCCAUUUUUACCGUCUUAGCUCGGUGUCAUGAGGUAAGAAGGAAAGUCUUCAGCCUUCAGAACUCUCAAGAAUGGGAGAUAAAGGAUGGGAAGAAAAGCAUGUGCAGAACCGGAAAGGAUCUGCCAAACAGCAGAAUCUGGUAAGAUGCACAGGUCCUCACUUUGUAAAAUGGACAGCAAAACCCCAGGUUUCCAGAGAGCCAGACAUGAGCAUCAAAUGGUAAUACUGAUGUUGGGAGAGGGGAAGGGAAAGGAAAAGAAGGGGAGCUAGCCCGUAAAAUUAGGAAAUCAAGAGAAAUUAGGGACAUUGGCACUGCUUAGAGAUACAGGAAAACUGCCUCAAUGAAAAACCAUAUAUUAAAAAUUUGGAUGGGCUACGUGGAGGUAACACACAUUGCGCUCAUCCGCAUAAAUUGCCUACAAAUGUUGCCUAAACAUGAUGUAGGACAAGAGUAAUUUUAUUUAUCAAAAAUUACAAGUCAAGGCGUUCCCACUGUGGCUUAGUGGAUUGAGAACCCGACAUAGACUCCGUGAGGAUGAGGGUCCGAUCUCUGGCCUCACUCCGUGGGUUAGGAUCUGGCAUUGCUGCAGCAUAGGUCACAGAUGUGGCUCAGAUCCGGUGUUGCCAUGGCUGUGUAGGCCUGCAGCUGCAGCUCCCAUUGGACCUCUAGCCCGGGAACUUCCAAAUGCUGCAGGU